This 87-nucleotide transfer RNA is filed under the name Paenibacillus sp. MMS18-CY102. RNAcentral's name for it is "tRNA-Leu". It matches the Rfam family "tRNA". Rfam says of the family: Transfer RNA (tRNA) molecules are approximately 80 nucleotides in length. The record is from RNAcentral. Lineage: Bacteria; Bacillati; Bacillota; Bacilli; Caryophanales; Paenibacillaceae.
GCGCCCCUGGCGGAAUUGGCAGACGCAGCGGACUUAAAAUCCGUGGUCAUCAGACGAUUAUGAGUUCGAGUCUCAUGGGGCGCACCA